RNAcentral lists this ribosomal RNA (1476 nucleotides) under Mycobacterium sp. 1794. RNAcentral's name for it is "partial 16S ribosomal RNA". It matches the Rfam family "Bacterial small subunit ribosomal RNA", at positions 1 to 1319 of the family's 1533-position model. Lineage: Bacteria; Bacillati; Actinomycetota; Actinomycetes; Mycobacteriales; Mycobacteriaceae. The record is from RNAcentral.
GGUCGUAGGCCUACACGGUGCUCGGCAGGCGCUGGUCUGACUGCUAUCGGAAGCACCACCGAGUAGCCAGUGGAGACCACUGAGGCAAACGUAUUGGCGAUAUUGACGGGCGUGGGUGGCAGUACCAUCAGCCGAGGUGGCCGGUAUGCCUGAAUCAACGGCGGGAAUCCGGGCGGCUGGAUCACCUCCUUUAGGAGACUUGUUGGUGGGGUGAUGGCCUACCAAGGCGACGGGUCUGUAUUUGUCCGAAAGGGAGUCGGGCCACACUGGCACUGGGCUACAGCCCACCCUCCGCCGGGAGGCAGCAAUGGGGAAUAUUGCACAAAGGGCCUGAACUGAUGCCGGGACGCCGCUGGGGGGAUGACCCCCUUCGGGUUGUGAACCUACACCGCCAAUCGAACGAUUGCCCGGGUUUUCUCGGGCAUACCGUCGGGGGAGAAGAAUUGCCGGCCGACUAGAUGGCCACCGUCCCGGAAAAACUGACGGGGCGAUCGUUGUGCACAACUUACUGGGCGUAAAGAGCUCGUAAUGGAUGUGGUCGCGAUAGCUCGUGAAAUCUCACGACUCAACUGUGAGCGUGCGGGCGAUACUGGGCAGACUUGAGUACUGCAGGGGAGACUGGAAUUCUUGGUGUAGCGGUGGAAUGCGCAGAUAUCAGGAGGAACACCCGGUGGCGAAGGACGGGUCUCUGGGCAGUAACUGACGCUGAGGAGCGAAAGCGUGGGGAGCGAACAGGAUUAGAUACCGUGGUAGUCCACGCCGUAAACGGUGGGUACUAGGUGUGGGUUUCCUUCCUUGGGAUCCGUGCCGUAGCUAACGCAUUAAGUACCCCGCCUGGGGAGUACGGUCGCAAGGGCUAAAACUCAAAGAAAUUGACGGGGGCCCGCACAAGCGACGGAGCAUGUGGAUUAAUUCGAUGCAACGCGAAGAACCUUACCUGGGUUUGACAUGCACAGUUUGCUCGCAGAGAAGUCGGGUUCCCCUGUGGCCUGUUCACAUGUGGUGCAUGUCUGUGGUCAGCUCGUUUCGUGAGAAGAUGGUUUAAGUUCCCGCAACUAGGGCCCCCCCUGUCUCAGGUUCCCACCGGGUAAUGCCGGGAGGGGUUUUGACAUACUGCGGGGGUUCAACUGGGAGACAAGGGGGGGAGGAGGGUCAAGUCAUCAUCCCCCUGAUGGCCACGCCUUCACACAAGCUAACAAUGCCCGGUACAACAAGAUGCGAUCCCUCUAGGAUAAGUGAAUCCUUUUAAAGCCGGUUUCAUUUCCAAUCGUGGUAUGUAAAUAGUUUGAUCCUGGCUCAGGAAGAGCGUCAAGUCGUAUGCCGGCCUGGUGGUCGCGAACGCAGCCAGUCGGUCUGCCGUCCGAAGCAGCACCCAGUAGCCGGUGGAGCCCUCUGAGGCAAACGCAUGGGGAUAGGACCGCCCUAUCGUUAGUACCAUCGCCGGCUCGGGAUGUAGCAUCUCCCUAGACCUGCUUC